GCCAUGCCGCGUGCAGGAUGAAGCAUCUAUGGUGUGUAAACUGCUUUUGUACGGGAAGAAACACCUCUUCGUGAAGAGGCUUGACGGUACCGUAAGAAUAAGGAUCGGCUAACUCCGUGCCAGCAGCCGCGGUAAUACGGAGGAUCCAAGCGUUAUCCGGAAUCAUUGGGUUUAAAGGGUCCGUAGGCGGCUUUAUAAGUCAGUGGUGAAAUCUGGCGGCUCAACCGUCAAAUUGCCAUUGAUACUGUAGGGCUUGAAUGUUUGUGAAGUAACUAGAAUAUGUAGUGUAGCGGUGAAAUGCUUAGAUAUUACAUGGAAUACCCAUUGCGAAGGCAGGUUACUAACAAAUGAUUGACGCUGAUGGACGAAAGCGUGGGUAGCGAACAGGAUUAGAUACCCUGGUAGUCCACGCCGUAAACGAUGGAUACUAGCUGUUCGGUAGCAAUACUGAGUGGCUAAGCGAAAGUGAUAAGUAUCCCACCUGGGGAGUACGGGCGCAAGCCUGAAACUCAAAGGAAUUGACGGGGGCCCGCACAAGCGGUGGAGCAUGUGGUUUAAUUCGAUGAUACGCGAGGAACCUUACCAGGGCUUAAAUGUAGUAUGACAGGUUUGGAAACAGAUCCU
This 624-nucleotide ribosomal RNA is filed under the name Flavobacterium sp. Ri1Pw_5582. RNAcentral describes it as "bacterial SSU rRNA". It matches the Rfam family "Bacterial small subunit ribosomal RNA", at positions 391 to 1014 of the family's 1533-position model. The record is from RNAcentral. Lineage: Bacteria; Pseudomonadati; Bacteroidota; Flavobacteriia; Flavobacteriales; Flavobacteriaceae.